CCUACGGGUGGCAGCAGUGAGGAAUAUUGGUCAAUGGGCGGGAGCCUGAACCAGCAAAGUCGCGUGAGGGAAGACGGUCCUCUGGAUUGUAAACCUCUUUUGUCGGGGAAAAAAGGCGCCCAAGGGAGGGAGGAUGUGUGUACCCGAAGAAAUAGCAUAGGCUAACUAAGUGACAGCAGCCGCGGUAAUACUGAGGAUGCGAGCGUUAUCCGGAUUUAUUGGGUUAAAGGGGUGCGUAGGCGGACAGUCAAGUCAGCGGUAAAAAUGAGGUGCUAAACGCCGUACAGCCGUUGAAACUGGCAUUCUUGAGUGGACGAGAAGUAUGCGGAAUUCGUGGUGUAGCGGUGAAAUGCAUAGAUAUCACGCAGAACUCCGAUUGCGAAGGCAGCAUACCGGCGCCCGACUGACGCUGAGGCACGAAAGCGUGGGUAUCGAACAGGAUUAGAUACCCCUGUAGUC
This 459-nucleotide ribosomal RNA is filed under the name uncultured bacterium. RNAcentral's name for it is "partial 16S ribosomal RNA". It matches the Rfam family "Bacterial small subunit ribosomal RNA", at positions 338 to 795 of the family's 1533-position model. The record is from RNAcentral.